Molecule: ribosomal RNA, 493 nt
Filed under: uncultured bacterium
Lineage: Bacteria
Description: partial 16S ribosomal RNA
Rfam family: Bacterial small subunit ribosomal RNA
Source: RNAcentral
CGAACGCUGGCGGCGUGCCUAAUACAUGCAAGUAGAACGCUGAAGGAGGAGCUUGCUCUUCUGGAUGAGUUGCGAACGGGUGAGUAACGCGUAGGUAACCUGCCUGGUAGCGGGGGAUAACUAUUGGAAACGAUAGCUAAUACCGCAUAACAGUAGAUGUUGCAUGACAUUUACUUAAAAGGUGCAAUUGCAUCACUACCAGAUGGACCUGCGUUGUAUUAGCUAGUUGGUGGGGUAACGGCUCACCAAGGCGACGAUACAUAGCCGACCUGAGAGGGUGAGCGGCCACACUGGGACUGAGACACGGCCCAGACUCCUACGGGAGGCAGCAGUAGGGAAUCUUCGGCAAUGGACGGAAGUCUGACCGAGCAACGCCGCGUGAGUGAAGAAGGUUUUCGGAUCGUAAAGCUCUGUUGUAAGAGAAGAACGAGUGUGAGAGUGGAAAGUUCACACUGUGACGGUAUCUUACCAGAAAGGGACGGCUAACUACGUG